RNAcentral lists this ribosomal RNA (1533 nucleotides) under Triticum aestivum (bread wheat). Its description in RNAcentral is "partial small subunit ribosomal RNA". The record is from RNAcentral. Lineage: Eukaryota; Viridiplantae; Streptophyta; Magnoliopsida; Poales; Poaceae.
AUGGCCGGUGGCGCCUUCGUGGUGAACGAUGGCCCCGUCCCGGACUACGGCGGACGCCUGACGCUAUCGGUGCUCAUGACCUGCUUCGUGGCCGCCUCCGGUGGCCUCAUCUUCGGCUAUGACAUCGGCAUAUCAGGCGGCGUGUCGCAAAUGGAGCCGUUCCUGCGGCGGUUCUUCCCGCACGUCCUGGAGAAGAUGGCGGUGGCGAAGCACAACGACUACUGCCUCUACGACAGCCAGGCGCUCACGGCCUUCACGUCGUCGCUGUACAUCGCCGGCCUGCUGGCGUCGCUCGUGGCUAGCCGCGUCACCAAGGCCAUAGGGCGGCAGCGCGUCAUGCUCGUGGGCGGGGCGCUCUUCUUCGCCGGCGGCGCCAUCACUGGCGCGGCUAUGAACAUCGCCAUGCUGAUCAUCGGGCGCAUGCUGCUCGGCUUCGGCGUCGGCUUCACCAACCAGGCGACUCCUGUAUUCCUGUCCGAGAUGGCCCCGACGCAGUGGCGCGGCUCCCUUACCGCCGGCUUCCAGAUCUUCCUCGCCCUCGGCGUCCUCAUCGCCAACCUCACAAACUACGCCACCGCGCGCAUCUCCUGGGGCUGGCGCCUCUCCCUGGGUCUCGCCGGCGCGCCGGCUGUGAUCAUCUUCCUGGGCGCCCUCUUCCUCACGGACACCCCCAGCAGCCUCGUCAUGCGCGGCAAGGCCGACGAGGCCCGCGCCGCGCUCGUCCGGGUGCGCGGGGCCGGCGCGGACGUGGACGCGGAGUUCCAGGACAUCCUGCGCGCCGUGGAGGUCGCGCGCGAGAGCGAGGAAGGCGCGUUCCACCGGAUGGCGACGAGGCGCGAGUACCGCCCUCACCUGGUGCUGGCCGUGGCCGUGCCCAUGUUCUUCCAGCUCACCGGCGUCAUCGUGCUCUCCUUCUUCGCGCCGCUGGUGUUCCGCACCGCCGGGUUCGGCAGCAACGCCGCGCUGAUGGGCGCCGUCAUUCUCGGCGGCGUGAACCUGGGGGCCCUCAUGCUCUCCACCCUCGUCAUCGACCGGUACGGCCGCAAGGUGAUGUUCAUGGUCGGCGGCAUCCAGAUGAUCAUUGCCCAGGUUGCGAUGGCAUGGAUCAUGGGCGCGCAGGUGGGGAAGAGCGGCGACGCGCCGAUGGCGAGGCCGUACGGGGUCGCGAUCCUGGUGUUCACGUGCAUGCACGCCGCCGGGUUCGGGUGGUCGUGGGGGCCGCUGGGGUGGGUGGUGCCGGGCGAGAUAUUCCCGGUGGACAUCCGGUCGGCGGGGCAGGCCAUGAACGUGUCUAUCGGCCUCGGCCUGACGUUCGUGCAGACGCAGUCGUUCCUCCCGAUGCUCUGCAGCUUCAAGUACGCCACGUUCGCCUACUACGCCGGCUGGGUCGCCGUCAUGACCGUCUUCAUCGCGCUGUUCCUGCCGGAGACCAAGGGCGUGCCGCUCGAGUCCAUGGGCACCGUCUGGGUCAAGCACUGGUACUGGAAACGGUUCGUGCAGCCGCAAGCAAAAAGCGCCGACGCACUCACCUAG